Molecule: ribosomal RNA, 247 nt
Filed under: uncultured bacterium
Lineage: Bacteria
Description: partial 16S ribosomal RNA
Rfam family: Bacterial small subunit ribosomal RNA
Source: RNAcentral
CACACAGUAAACGAUGAAUACUCGCUGUUUGCGAUAUACAGUAAGCGGCCAAGCGAAAGCAUUAAGUAUUCCACCUGGGGAGUACGCCGGCAACGGUGAAACUCAAAGGAAUUGACGGGGGCCUGCACAAGCGGUGGAGCAUGUGGUUUAAUUCGAAGCAACGCGCAGAACCUUACCAACGUUUGACAUCCUUAUCGCGAUUAGCAGAGAUGCUUUUCUUCAGUUCGGCUGGAUAAGUGACAGGUGC